This 624-nucleotide ribosomal RNA is filed under the name uncultured bacterium. RNAcentral's name for it is "bacterial SSU rRNA". It matches the Rfam family "Bacterial small subunit ribosomal RNA", at positions 153 to 796 of the family's 1533-position model. The record is from RNAcentral.
GAAAGGUAUGCUAAUACGGGAUAAUAUAUUUGAGAGGCAUCUCUUAAAUAUCAAAGGUGAGCCAGUACAGGAUGGACCCGCGUCUGAUUAGCUAGUUGGUAAGGUAACGGCUUACCAAGGCGACGAUCAGUAGCCGACCUGAGAGGGUGAUCGGCCACAUUGGAACUGAGACACGGUCCAAACUCCUACGGGAGGCAGCAGUGGGGAAUAUUGCACAAUGGGCGAAAGCCUGAUGCAGCAACGCCGCGUGAGUGAUGAAGGCCUUCGGGUCGUAAAACUCUGUCCUCAAGGAAGAUAAUGACGGUACUUGAGGAGGAAGCCCCGGCUAACUACGUGCCAGCAGCCGCGGUAAUACGUAGGGGGCUAGCGUUAUCCGGAUUUACUGGGCGUAAAGGGUGCGUAGGCGGUCUUUCAAGUCAGGAGUGAAAGGCUACGGCUCAACCGUAGUAAGCUCUUGAAACUGGGAGACUUGAGUGCAGGAGAGGAGAGUGGAAUUCCUAGUGUAGCGGUGAAAUGCGUAGAUAUUAGGAGGAACACCAGUUGCGAAGGCGGCUCUCUGGACUGUAACUGACGCUGAGGCACGAAAGCGUGGGGAGCAAACAGGAUUAGAUACCCUGGUAGUCC